Columba livia (rock pigeon) is the source of this 5162-nucleotide long non-coding RNA. RefSeq lists it as uncharacterized. NCBI's taxonomy places the organism in Eukaryota, Metazoa, Chordata, Aves, Columbiformes, Columbidae. The record is from RefSeq and is a predicted model, not a curated record. The transcript is spliced from 3 exons.
UGAGGAGCGGUGUGACAGCGCCUCCGUGCCGGGGCUGGAGCCGGCGGGGAUGCAAAGUGGUUGUGGUGUCCUCAGGUCCUUUUUAGAAAUAGAUGUGCUCUGUCCCGUCGGCUCUAGGCGAGCAUAGCGCUGGGGGAGACUCGGGGCAGCCGAAUGCUGCUCAGAACAGUGUGAGGCCGUAGAUAAACAAGUGAAUUAUCAGGGUUCACUAUGAGGUGUCCUAAGGGGGCUCCUCUGUAGAAUAUCACUUUGUAGGAAGUUGUAUCAGACAAGCAGUGUCCUCUGAACUUCUGGCGGCUCAAACUGCAGUGUCUGAAGUGAGAAAAUUGACAGAGAAAGCCAACAAAAUGGAGAUUAGCAAAUGAGCACAGCCAGGCAGUAUUUACCAAAGUGUUCAAAAUUACCUAAGGGCAACUGUACUAUUAAUAUAGUAAUCUCACCCUUAUGUGAAAUGGCUUUGGUGCUAGAAGGCUGAUCUGUAGCAAAUGCGAUACCAGAGUGAACUUGAGAGAAAAAACCUGAUCUUUCCCAGGAAGACUGAUAAAAUUUAUAAUAAAAUAAUGGAAUUAAUGAGUAUAAGGAAACCUACAAGUAGAAAGAAGGAGCACAUCUUUUUCACAGGAGAACAAUGCUGCACAGCUUUAUUAUGCAAUUCACACAGUUCAGAAGCACAAGCAUUGCUGUGUGGUUGUAUAAAUUAGUGCUGUUCUGAAAUCUUCAGUGUACAAUCUUGGUUUGCUUCAUCUGAAAAAUAAUGCAGCUGAAAAGAAAAAACAAUAGAGAUUCAAAACAAGGACACUGCAUGUUUUCACUAUAAGAAGUAGCUAUUUAGACAAAGACUUGUCAGCCUGGAAAGGGAAUGGUGGAAGGCAGAUGUUCUAAAGUCUCUAAAAUCACGAGCACCUGGAGAAGUUGAACAUAGAGUGGUGUGUUCCCAAAGAGAACUAGCAGGCACCAAGUGAAACUAGCAGAUGGGGUCGUCUUGGAAGAGGCAUUUCCACAUUGUGCCUGAUCAGGCUGUGAAAGUGUGUUUGGAGUGUUGGCAAACCAUGUGGUUUAUAGAAGCAAAUUCAGCAAAUUAGUGAAAUUCAUUUUGGGUGUAUCAAAAACGUACAAAUGCAACUUUACCUCAGUAAAGCCCUGAAUUGCAGAUUGCUGGACUCUGAGGAGGUUACACAGCACUUUGCUAGGCAAUUAUGAAAUAUACUUACAGAGAUUCUCAACUGUGGCUCAAGGAAAAAGAUGUCCAGUCUUCAUGCAGUGUCUGUGAACACAAGUCUGAAGGCAAUUCCAAAAGCAGAGAUGCUGAGAUGGGAAGAAGUGCUUGGAGGAGGCUCAAACUUGCAUGUUGUCUUCAUGGAAGAAGCCCCAGAAAACAGCUCUGAUUGUCCAAAUCAACUAUCAUAAUCUCCUCUGAUGAAGUAGGCUCCUCAUUUUCUCAGCAACCCUAACAGUUCCUGUCUGUGCCUGUUUCAGUCUGAAUGUCGCUUUCUUAAGUAGCAUACAAAACUGUAGUGUUUCAGCUGCCAUGUACUGUGAUGUUAAUACCGAACUUCUAGAAAUACUUUACAUAAUUGGCCAUAGGAGCAUAUGUGCCAUUUCUCAGGGCCAUGUAAUAAUUCUGUGAUACACUCAUAUUUCCAGGUCAUGAGCUCUGACAUCAUAGCUGUUUAUUAGUUUCUACUUUCAUUGCAUUACAAUACAUGAGCUCAUCCAAUUGUUUUAAUAUUCUGGUCUGCUUCUGUUUUAAUAAAGCUUCUGUUCAGGCCACCUGCAAAUUUCAUUAGCACAUGCUUUCUUUAUUUCCAAGCUCAUAAUUAAAAUAGUAAGCAAGAUAAGAUUUUAACUGUAUCUAAGACUUAACUGAAGCUACAACUGGGUCUUAACAGCUCAUUCAGGAUCUCCAUUAGAGUCAUCUUUAGUUUUCUCUCUGUUGUGACCCAUCUUAUCCCAAUCUACCUUCCCCAUUUGUGAGAAGGAGGUAUAUGGUAGUAUGAUCUCAGGAAUAAUAAAUUUUGCAAUUGACAGUUUUUGUCCCCUCCCUAUGCCAUACAUUGCCCCUAAAUGCCUUUUCCUUUCUCCUAUCCUAGUUGGUAUGAAAGUCAGCAAAAUUGGUGCUGAUCAGUUAGCACCAGGAAGACAUCUUUGAGUGCAGGAAUGGCCACCUGCAGCUGGUUAGAACUGAAUUGUGAUGACACAGUAGAAUUACAGGCCAGGAAACCAGCUGAAAGUGGUGCUAAUAUAGCUCAAAAUUGAGGCUAUAAUAGUGAAAGGAACCUCUGACACUGCCAUUUUUCAUACCACAUAGUAAUCUGACACACAUGCUGGCAGUAGUUUGUGUUGAACUGUUGUAAAUAAGAUACAGGAGUCACACCUCAGUUGUCUCAGAGAUAUUACAGUCUCAUUGCUUCUCCACAAGCAGAAUGCCUCCUGAGAUUGCCAACAGUGGCUUGUUUGUUUUCCUGUUUUGCUCCUUUGACUGAUGCUUAAAAAGUCAUGUUUUAGCUUUCCACUUCUGUUCCACAGAACAAUGAAAGCUUUUCUGUUUUGUAGAAUAAUUCAAUCUAAACAGAGAAGUGGAAAUUCUUAUCUCAUAUUUUCCCUGUUUCUUUUUGUGUGUAUUAUGUGGAGUAUCAGUAUAUAUUAGUAAAACAAGUAAACAAAAAAUUAGAGGUUUUUUAACAGCCAAAGAAUCUUUGUAAGCAAUAUUGUAAAAAAAUGUUGCAUAAGCUUGUCAGAUGGAUAUGUAUUUAUCAUUGUCAAAAAACUUUGCUGAUAGUCUCAUUUGUGUUUGACGGAAUAUGGAAAAAAUUAUGAAAAACAUCUAUUUCUUGUCACAAAUGAAGUGUAAUAUUAUGAAUCAUAUAGUCUUACAAAAUUAUUGAAUGUUCUCAUCAAUGAGAUGACCGUUCAUUUUCUAAUACUGAUGUUCAUGAUCAAGAGAAUGACAUGUUCUGAGUACGAGGUCUUCAGGAAAGGAAAAACUAGUUAAUUUUUUUUUCUUUCAACUGAGGCAGUGACACCAGUUUUAUUUUCCUUUCUACCCUGUAAUUUAAGAAAUUACUCCUUUUAGAUCCACAGCUAAUCUGCUGACACAGCACUAGCUUUAUUUUGAGUUUGUGAAAUGCUGAUAAUAGGAUAGAAACCUACCCUUCUAAGUUUUAACUCAGUAAGACAAUGUCUUUGGCAUACUAUGACCCCAAAGGCCUAUCAGGAAAGAAAAACACAGCACCAUGCUGAAAAAUAACAGCCCAUCAUGUAAUUGAGAGCUUGACUCAACAACAUACUAAUAGGCAGGUGUCCGUGUUUUUCAUGCGGGUGCGGAAGACUCAUGCAUCUCUAAACAGUUUUCACUGCCUGCAGUUCAGACUGUGACUGCAGCUGUGAAGGGGUGGGAAAGCCAGUUCAUUUGACCUCUGUACUAAAAUUCUGUGCUGAAGGUUUGUGAUUUUCCCAAGCAAUGCAGAACUGGACUAUGGAACACAGACUUCUUGCUUUUCAUGCAACUCUUUGUGGAGAUGCAGAUCCGGAAUAUGGAAGAUGGCAUUAAGGACGAGUAUCCAAAAUGCUUCAUGAUCCUAUUCUUGCUUGGAAAAGCAGCCCGAAAGAUAUAGCUUAAAAACACUGCCCCAUCGUGUGUGUUCAGGCAGGUCUUGGUGAUACAUAUGAGAGCAAUUUAAGAGGUUUCCACCUCCUGCUGUGUAUUCCACUAUGUGAGUCUCAGGAAAAAUGAUGGCAGGGUAAAUGUGGAGUUCAGGCUGUGAACUGAGACAGGAAAGGUGCCGAUUCACAUUUGCUGCAGCUGACUCAGCUCCUGAAGCAGUGCACAUAGCAAAGAGAAAAAUGGUAAGUGUGAAGCUCCUGACAUGAACGACCAAAGAUCAUCUGAAGGUAUCUAGAGCACUUUACUUGCCAAUUAGAGCUUCUGACAUGUCUUAUGGAUGAAGUGGUACAUACAGGACAGGAGCCCUCUGGUACUGUCUCUUCAGGAAUAGAACCAAAAUAAGGAAUGCUACCAUACACAUAACUAUACUUUGCCUGCAUCCUGUCAGCAGAUCUUAUCUCCCAAGUUAUGUCAGGUAUAGUAGAGUUCAGGUUCAGAGAAGUGUCACUGAUGUGGUCAAAAGUAUGCAAUAGAUUCUAUAUGGCUAAAUGCGCCUCCAAAUGUACUGGAAAACAGUCAGCUGAGGGGGGGGGGGAUAAAAUAGGGGUGUACAGAAUGAUGAGUGGCCUAGAGAGGGCAAUUGAGGAGUUCAGUCUCUGUUCCCAAUAAAGUAAGGGCAUCAAAAUAAAUUAGCAGAAGGCAGAUUUGGAAGAAACAAGAAAAAAUUUGUUCCUUUUCUAUGCAAGAGGAACUUAAACUGUAGAACUUCUGGCAGCCGGGUGUUGUGUAUGACAAAAGUGGACACAGAAUUCACAUGGAGGCUGGAAGGAAAAUAUACUGGGGGCUACUAAAUAUUAAAUAUCACAACUAUGCCUAGUUCAGGAAAUCUUGAAGCCUUAGAUAGGUUGAGACUCUAUCUGAGGCAGGUUACUGGGUUAGGUAAACUCUGACCUAGAGUAUAUAUUUUUAUGUUUCUUAAGUUCCAAUUUGUGCGAGUCUUGAUGCUGUAAGAAAGGAAUCCAUUAAGUUUGUUAAUGACCCCAACUGGGGGUGGCAAGUUAAUACCUGUGAGGGUAGGAGUAUUCAGAAAGAUCUGAAUGGACUGAUGGGAACCUUGCUGAAUUCAGCAAGGAUAUAUCCAAAGUCCUACACCUGGUGAGGAAGGACCCCUGGCAAUAAUACAGACUGUUUUGCAUUCUUCCUGUACAAGAAAGACAUAGGUAAACUGGGGCAAGUUCAGUGAAGAGCCAUCAGGAUUGGUGGAGCAUGUGUCCUGCGCUGGGACCAGUGUAUGCUGCUGUGGAGCUUCAAACUCGCAGCAGUCCCUGGCAUCUAUAACCUUGUGCUGCACAUCAGGCCAGUGUUCUAAAGGUGCAACAGAACCACCUGGAGCAAAACCACCUGCAACUUGAUCUUUUAGAGAAGAACAGAUCAGCACCGGGAAUGCUGUCUUCCAGGAUGUUAUAGAACACUUAGUUUUUAGUGCAUUAAGUAUUUAUAGACUGUACCCAUAGAGUCAGCUGGAGUUGUAAUUGUAAUAAAAUGAUAGGUCUGGAAA